UGUAACAGAUGCAAACUGUAACACAAGGGCCAUUAACCCUUUCUCUGCCGGGCACACUCAGUCCCCACGCCCCGCACCUAUUGUCUCCUGUGCUAGAAGCUUUGCAGAAAACCUGGAAAGUAUUUGCCAAGUCCUAAUUGCUGAAUAUAAUGAAUUGGAACUAGAUGCGAAAAUAGAGCAGGACCUCUCCCCUUGAUGAGUUUUUAUUCCAGCCAUAUAAUUCUCAAUAAAACUUUUCCUGGGCUGGAUAGCAAAGGGCACCUUUGGUUACCUGAAUGGACAGGUACAGGGGAAAUUAUUUGGGGGAGGGAAAAAGGAGAGAAAAGCAAGGAGAGAGAGUGUGAGUGUAAGAGAAGGCGAAGAAGCCACUCUUGAGAAAAGCUUGCCAUAAAGGAGCUAAACCCACCUGAAAUUCCUACCCACGGACACCCCUUCUCACUUCAGACUCACAUCCCCACUCAAAAUGAGAAAAUUAGAAAAGGAGGAUGGAGGACGAGCACACCAAAAAGGGAUAAAAAGAGAGAAAAGGGGAGGAAAAAAAACCUACCUGCGAAGUCUUGUUUGUAGUUUUGGCCAGAAAUGGUGAGAAGAAAAAGCAUGAAGAAGCCGCGAAGUGUGGGGGAGAAAAAGGUGGAAGCGAAGAAACAGCUCCCGGAGCAAACUGUACAAAAACCUCGCCAAGAGUGUCGGGAGGCAGGACCGUUAUUCCUGCAGAGCAGGAGAGAGACGAGAGACCCUGAAACACGCGCCACCUAUCUUUGUGGGGAGGGAUAAUUGAAGCGCCCUGAGCGUGAGCAUCAUGUGAAAACGUGAUCGCCAAGUUUCUCUCUGGGAAAGGAUCUGGGAUAGAUUAUACCUUGAAGUCUCCGCAAACGCUUUAGUGGAAGA
This 888-nucleotide antisense RNA is filed under the name Pongo abelii (Sumatran orangutan). The stretch from base 1 to 118 matches the Rfam family "ZEB2 antisense RNA 1 conserved region 1". Lineage: Eukaryota; Metazoa; Chordata; Mammalia; Primates; Hominidae. The record is from RNAcentral.